This 442-nucleotide ribosomal RNA is filed under the name uncultured bacterium. Its description in RNAcentral is "partial 16S ribosomal RNA". It matches the Rfam family "Bacterial small subunit ribosomal RNA", at positions 338 to 795 of the family's 1533-position model. The record is from RNAcentral.
CCUACGGGAGGCAGCAGUGGGGAAUAUUGGGCAAUGGGCGCAAGCCUGACCCAGCAAAGCCGCGUGAAGGAAGAAGGCUUUCGGGUUGUAAACUUCUUUUAAGGGGGAAGAGCAGAAGACGGUACCCCUUGAAUAAGCCACGGCUAACUACGUGCCAGCAGCCGCGGUAAUACGUAGGUGGCAAGCGUUGUCCGGAUUUAAUGGGUGUAAAGGGCGUGCAGCCGGAGAGACAAGUCAGAUGUGAAAUCCACGGGCUCAACCCGUGAACUGCAUUUGAAACUGUUUCCCUUGAGUGUCGGAGAGGUAAUCGGAAUUCCUUGUGUAGCGGUGAAAUGCGUAGAUAUAAGGAAGAACACCAGUGGCGAAGGCGGAUUACUGGACGAUAACUGACGGUGAGGCGCGAAAGCGUGGGGAGCAAACAGGAUUAGAUACCCCGGUAGUC